This 503-nucleotide long non-coding RNA is filed under the name Podarcis lilfordi (Lilford's wall lizard). The record is from RNAcentral. Lineage: Eukaryota; Metazoa; Chordata; Lepidosauria; Squamata; Lacertidae.
CUCAUAUUGUUUAAUGCCAACCUGGACAACUUUGGUGGAAGGGACCCAUGCAAAACAGCGGCUGGGUUUCCCAUUACAGAAUGUAUGGCAAUGAUUACAACUUAAUCUUGUUUCUCAAACCUUCUCCCUUUUCAUUCUUCCUUGUUCAGUAGGUCUUGGGAGAAGGUAUUGACUCCUACCCAGUUUACCCUGUUGGUUUCUAUUUCCUUCACUGUGCAGCUCUGCUUGUCGCAAGACAGGUGUUUACAUUCCACAGCCUGUACUGUUGGAGUUUCUCACGGGAAAGGGAGACUGGAUGUGACGUACACUGGUUUCCUGUUUUUCACUGUGUUUCUCUCCAAGCUGUCGAGGAGAGAGGAUGCAUUUUUCUGCUCCGGCACAGAGGCAAGAUGUCUUUCUGUAAUAUACCAGCUUUGAACUGUAAAUAAAGCAAUACAGAGUAUGCAGCACGUAUCCUCAUCCUUCCGCUGGCCACGACAGACUCUGCUUUAAAUCAACACGUG